UACAGGGGGGGCAAGCGUUGUUCGGAAUUACUGGGCGUAAAGGGUUUGUAGGUGGCUUGCUUAGUCAGACGUGAAAUCCCUCAGCUUAACUGGGGAACUGCGUCUGAUACUGAUGAGCUUGAAUGCGGGAGAGGAUAGUGGAAUUCCCAGUGUAGAGGUGAAAUUCGUAGAUAUUGGGAAGAACACCGGUGGCGAAGGCGGCUAUCUGGCCCGUGAUUGACGCUGAGGCGCGAAAGCGUGGGGAGCAAACAGG
This 253-nucleotide ribosomal RNA is filed under the name uncultured prokaryote. Its description in RNAcentral is "partial 16S ribosomal RNA". It matches the Rfam family "Bacterial small subunit ribosomal RNA", at positions 524 to 776 of the family's 1533-position model. The record is from RNAcentral.